Molecule: ribosomal RNA, 556 nt
Filed under: Threskiornis aethiopicus (Sacred ibis)
Lineage: Eukaryota; Metazoa; Chordata; Aves; Pelecaniformes; Threskiornithidae
Description: partial 16S ribosomal RNA
Source: RNAcentral
GCCUGUGAAACGAAUCUAAGUUCUCCCUUAAUCAUCCUCCACGGACAUCCACCCAAACCUACAUGUAGUAGAUUAAGAGCAAUUUAAAGGGGGUACAGCUCCUUUAAAAAAGAACACAAUCUCCUCUAGCGGAUAAUUACUGUCAACCUGAACCCUUAAGUCUGUGGGCCUUCAAGCAGCCACCAACAAAGAGUGCGUCAAAGCUCUACACCCAAAGAUCCAAAAACAACAUGACUCCCUCACUCCUAACAGGCUAACCUAUAGUAAUAGGAGAAUCAAUGCUAAAAUAAGUAACUCUGGGAUCUACCCUCUUAAGCGCAAACUUACAUACUCACAUUAUUAACAGACUCCCACUAAUACCGCAACUUCAACAAGACCGAAUAUUAACAACAUCUGUUAAUCCGACCCAGGAGCGCCCAUUAGAAAGAUUAAAAUCUGUAAAAGGAACUAGGCAAACCCAGGGCCCGACUGUUUACCAAAAACAUAGCCUUCAGCUCGUCCAAGUAUUGAAGGUGAUGCCUGCCCAGUGACAUUGUUUAACGGCCGCGGUAUCCUA